Liolophura sinensis is the source of this 5155-nucleotide RNA transcript. It is a transcript of the gene named eukaryotic translation initiation factor 4E-like, with no coding region annotated. The transcript is spliced from 8 exons. The record is from RefSeq and is a predicted model, not a curated record. NCBI's taxonomy places the organism in Eukaryota, Metazoa, Mollusca, Polyplacophora, Chitonida, Chitonidae.
CUUAGGUAGAGUGACAGGAGCAUAUGGGAGCCUCGUUCUGAUUUCGCCGGUACCAUGUGAUUUCACCCAUAUUGAAUUUCGGCAACAUGGCUUCAGAACAAGUGGAACAGAAGGAGGAAAGCCGGCAGGCAGAGGCAGAAGAAAAUGAUCAGCAAGUGGUGCCAAGCCCCGAACUGUUAAUAAAACAUCCAUUACAGAACAGAUGGGCUCUGUGGUUCUUCAAAAAUGAUAAAACGAAAGACUGGGCAUCAAACUUAAAGUUGAUCACAUCUGUAGAGACAGUAGAGGACUUCUGGGGAUUAUAUAACCAUGUACAGAAAGCCAGCAGGCUCCCAUCAGGCUGUGAUUACUCCAUGUUUAAGGAUGGUAUACAGCCAAUGUGGGAGGACACUCAAAACAAGGAGGGCGGCAGAUGGCUUAUUAAUCUCAAUAAACAACAAAGACAUACAGAUCUAGACAAUUUCUGGCUCGAAACGUUAUUAUGUAUGAUAGGGGAAGCAUUUGACGAACAGAGUGAAGAUGUCAAUGGAGCAGUGGUGAACAUCAGAAACAAGGGAGAUAAACUUGCCAUGUGGACGAAAGAUGCCAGGCGAGGCGAUGCCAAUGUCAAAAUAGGAAAAAAGUUAAAAGAAAGGUUGAAUAUACCAGACAGACUAACAAUAGGAUUUCAGGCUCACACAGAUACCAUCUCUAGACAAGGCUCUACAGCCAAGAACCGUUUCUCUGUAUAACCCAAGCUGUUGUCCAUGGGAUUGGAAGAUAACUGGUGUGUAAGGACAGGACUUCGCAAUGUUGGAGGAGUAGGAGGACCUUUCCAUAUUGGCAGUAUGAUGAAGUGAGCUUACUGUACUGUCUACACAAAAUUCCCAGUUACAGAGGACAUCUGUAAUUUAUUGUUCUUCAGAAGGCUGUUAUGGUUACUUAUACUAUGUGCUAACACUGUGCAUACUAAUAUAAUAAGGGUGCACUCACAAAUGUAAAUAUGGCACAUUGUUACGUAAUAGUUUUACUACUGAUUCUUGUAGAUAACUUGUUUAAGACAAAUUCUUUCUGUAUGUCAUUGUGAUGGACUGUAUUUUUCUUGCUUCUCUCAUUAUUGUUUUGUUGUUUUUUUAGCAGAAGACACUAGUUUUUAUAGUGCUAAUGAAGUGCUAUUAUAAUUAUUAGUUUGUUAAAGAGCUCUUUUUGUUGUGAGAGAGACUAAGUGAAGCUCUCUAUACAUUGCUUUCUUGGGUUAUAUAUAACAGGUCAUGGGUGAAAGGUCAUGAUCACAACUGAUUUUCCAUUUUGCAAUAUCUGCUAAUUCUACUUUUGAUUUAUGAGUGUUAUUUUCAGCAGUUGUUCAGAUCUAGAUAUAUAGAUAGUUGAUGUGCUAUCCUGAUUUCAUUGCUAGUGCACUUGCCCUUAAAGUCCAAACAAUGGGCAGUUAUUUGGAGUGUUCCUUGUCAUACAUGUGUAAGUUCACUUAAAGAUGGUUUAUUUUUCUAACCUUCUCAUAAAAGUUUUACUUAGUUGUUAAAACAGUUGAUGCCCAGUGUGACUUGCGGUAUGUUUAUAACUUAAUGUUUGUAAAAAUCAUCUGUAUUCAUAUUCAGUUUCCCAAUUCAUGCAGUACAUGUACGUCUAUGGAGCAAACUGUUCAGUUCUCAAAUUCAAAUUUAUUAUACAGUAUGAUCUGUUAAAACAAAUACUUAUUGACAAGUACUAACUUUGUAAGAGAAAUUGGUGGCAGAAAACUUUGUUUCGAUUCAAUUCAGAGCAGUUGAAGUGGGGUUAAACAGGCCAGGUUUUCGAACCUUUCCUUUUUGUAAGGCCUAUGGUACAAGGUAUAGCGAACCGCACGAAUGUGGCUCAGCUGAUCUAACGAUGCAUUGAUGUACUGCGGAGACAGAGCCACACUUUCUCGCAACACAGAAGAUGUCCCACAGAUCUGUGAGCAUCGGCAGCAGAACAUUAGGUUUUUAACGAUGUUAUUUUGUCCUAACCUGCAUAAAACUGGUUUCUGUGAAGACACAACAUGCAAAGGGAUGCUUCGAAACAAACACACACUGUCCCUACUCUAAUAUGUAUGGCAAAAUGAAACAAUUUCAGCCCACAAAUUGCCUCCACUUCAAUGGGUUUGUCGUAAUUUUUGGCUGCCUUACUCAUUGUCAGGUAAACUAGGAUUCUGGUUGGAAAUGUAAUCUGUCGAGCUAUAAAACCACAGUGGUUCACAGUGUCACAUGACCUGAAAUUGGUUACUGUGAGAGUCCGAGCAUGGUAGAAAUAUGUACUGAAGUGAAGACAUUUGGUCAAAUCUCCAAGGAUUUACUCUACCCACUGAUCUGAAAAAUAAAACUGAAGCUACUGUUGUAUGCAGACAUGAUACAUACGUUCAUCGAUGCAUAAAUCUACAAGGUCAGGUUUAAUACUUAAGAUUUAAUGCUGCUGUUAAGGUAGAACAGAGAGCUCAUCUGGGAUCAUUGGAGGAGUGCGUGAAGCUAACCUAUCAGUUCAGUACAGUACAUUGUUAAAUCUGCUGUCCACUUCACUAUAGGUAUAGCAUGGUACACAGGUAGGGGCAAUCUACUAAUUUGAUGCAAGGGCCUACUAUUGGAAAAUUGAUUCCAAUGAAAAUUAGUCUCCAAUGAAAAUUAGGUAAUUAAAUCUGACACUGGCUGGCACAUUUCUUCAGCAUUAAUAAACUUCAGUUUUAAAAUAUAUUUAAUCUUAGCUGUUCUCUGUUUUAGUUAAAUCACGAUAAUAACUUAGAUGUUAUUAAUUGUAUUUGGCAGUAAGCAUUUUCUCUUUUUUUUUGAAACCUAAACGGAUACCUGACAUUUGACAAUUUUAAAUGUGCCUGCCAUUUAUGUCUGGAGAACUGAGAUGAAGUCCACAGAAUACCAGUAGUUGUAAAUGUCUGGGAAGACUUUCUGUGGCAGUAAGACAUUUUCAUUGUUAUUUAUUGUGCUAAGUUGAUGUGAUUAGUAAUUUGAUCUUGCAUGGCCUUUUGGAACAGUAUUGUUGUGAAUUAUGUGAAAAGAAGUUAAAUUUUUUCUUGUGUUAGUUUCCCCAAGUUUUUUCUCAUUUUCACCGGAAACUUCAAUGUAAAAUGUUUUUUUUUUUUUGGGGGGAUGAGAAUUUGGUAUGUUUUGUGUGGAAAAUUGUAAACUUGACUCAAGAUUUUGCUGCAUUCUUCAACAAUUUUAAGUUAAUGUUCUUAAUUUUGAUUGAUAAAUGUUGAUGUACACACGCAGUUUAUAUCAAAAUACUUAGCUUUUCUGAUUACUGGGUACCUUUACAAUGCACUGCUGCAGUACAGAAAAAAAAAACGACUAAAGACCACACUAACUGCAAUGGUGUAAGAAUGAAGUACUGAGACUAUGGCUGAAAAUAUGGGGUUAAUCGACUUCAGAUUUAAUUUAAAGGUUAGCAUCAUGCACCUGACCCUAGGAUCGUGGAUCUGCCCUAGACGCAAGUCCUUCUUAUCAAAACAGUUUACUGCACUGAACUUGUGACUUGAUGUAAGAAUUUUUGUUUUAAUACUUAGUUAUUGUGACUUUCAUGACAAAAAUGAAAAUAACAGUUUGAUUUAUGAUCAAUUAGAUGUUUAGGAAUGAUAUGAUAAGCUGACCAGUUAAGUCCAUCUAAAGUUACUGCUUUGUGAUCCUGGGGCCAGUGAUGUUAGGCAGACCUGAAAAUAUGUUGACAUUAUCUGGUUUAGGGUGAAGCCAAAAAAAAAAAAAAAAAAGCUUCCAGAUUUGAUGUUCAUUUCGGCAUGAAGUAUUUCACCUAUAUUCAUGCGAUGUGAAGCCAAGCAUAGAUAAGGUGUCACAUGAUCAAUUAUCUGCUUUAUGGUCAGAUGAAAAAAUCUAGUUUAUUAUGGCAGAAAGCAACCUACAUUAUAUCAGAUAGGUAAAUCCCACCUUGACAGUGCAUGCAGUUUACUUUAAAGAUAAAAGGGAAUUCUGUUUCUCUUAGAUGCUUUCCAAAUGUAAGGCACUUAGUAUUCUGCAGUUCCUAGAAACCUGUAUCUUAUCAUAAUCAUAAAAAAUAUAUUUGGCCAACAUUAAGUAGUAGUCCUUCCAGUUCCCAAGGUAAUGGAGCCAGUCGUUUCUCUGGUUGCCUCCACCCUUGUAAUUUAACGUGUUCAAUAAAUGCUACUUAAUUUGGCUAUAAGGGGAGAUUUUCAGCCAAAAUCUGCAUUCGCUAAUAAAAUAGUUUUCUGCAUUUACCAAGAACAGCUAAAAUUUUUGUUUUUUAGUAAUUAUCAGUCCUGUACCUGUAGUAUUUAUAGGGUUAAAAUGGUUCUGAAGUUUGAAGAAGUUACUUUAAAAAUGUGACCCGCAUGUAGAAAUUUCAUUUACGAUUUUGGUAUCUUGUGAGUGGUAAUUUUUGGGGGCUGUUCUAAAAUAACAAAGUUGGAUUGUAUUUGCAUUGAUAAAUUUUUGGGCCAAAAAUCUCCAUUAUGUCAAUAUCAAGUAAAUAUGAACAAGUUUAAGACAUCCAGGACAUUGUGCAUGUCUUUUCAAACUCGUAGAAUAUUGGAAUCUUUGCUUGUUAUAUAUACUGAAAGUUUGGUCAUUCUUCAGCUGAUCUGAAAGGCAAUGCAUUAUGACAUAAUUUUGGCUUUAAAAGUUUACCUUUGUUCAAGAAUACCAUAAUGGCAAGAUACAUGUUUUUAGGGAAAUGUACUUCUAGAGUUAUUCAGUCAAACUGUAUAUUAUGUAAAUGUCUCUUGAUGAUGGCCUAGUGUAAAGAAUGUCCAAUAUAAUAAACUGAUAAGCAUGUACCCUUGGUGGGUGGGGAUGGUAGAGAGAUACUUCCGUGAUGUAGGCAGUAGUUCUGGCUUACUCCAGGAGACAUGUACAGUUGUGCUGCUCAUGUAAUACAAUUGGAGCAGUAGUUCUAGGCUCAUUGUAUAAAGUCUAUUGAUAAAGUGGAUUUGAUAAUAAACCAAUUGUAUUUAACUUGAAUUGUGCUCAGUUGUCAGUCCUUGCAUCUCUUCAAUUUUGCUUUCAGAAAAGCCUUUUCAUUAAAUAAGUUGUGGUUUAUUUGGAAUUAGACAUGUUUAUCAGGGCCUGUUUUCACGAAGCACUCUUAACUAGUACCAUGGCAACCAGUACUGAAGGCAUUACGUCAUCAUGGAAGUUGUGAGCUGUAACGUUUAAUAGUG